RNAcentral lists this ribosomal RNA (441 nucleotides) under uncultured bacterium. RNAcentral describes it as "partial 16S ribosomal RNA". It matches the Rfam family "Bacterial small subunit ribosomal RNA", at positions 339 to 795 of the family's 1533-position model. The record is from RNAcentral.
CUACGGGGCGCUCCAGUGGGGAAUAUUGGGCAAUGGGCGCAAGCCUGACCCAGCAACGCCGCGUGAGGGAAGAAGGUUGGCGGAUGGUAAACCUCUGUCCUUGGGGACGAAGAAGUGACGGUACCCAAGGAGGAAGCUCCGGCUAACUACGUGCCAGCAGCCGCGGUAAUACGUAGGGAGCAAGCGUUGUCCGGAAUUACUGGGCGUAAAGGGUGCGUAGGCGGCAUAUUAAGUCAGGUGUGAAAUACUCGGGCUCAACCCGGGGGCUGCAUUUGAAACUGAUAUGCUUGAGUGUGAGAGAGGAAAGUGGAAUUCCUAGUGUAGCGGUGGAAUGCGUAGAUACUAGGAGGAACACCAGUGGCGAAGGCGACUUUCUGGCUCAUAACUGACGCUGAGGCACGAAAGCGUGGGGAGCAAACAGGAUUAGAUACCCGAGUAGUC